This 2525-nucleotide long non-coding RNA is filed under the name Olea europaea subsp. europaea. Lineage: Eukaryota; Viridiplantae; Streptophyta; Magnoliopsida; Lamiales; Oleaceae. The record is from RNAcentral.
CUUCAGCAACUACUUUAUCUAUCAUCUCCGUUCAUCGUCAAGUAUCUUUAAGUUAGUUUACCAACAAAACACAAUCAAAUUACCAAAAAACUAGAUCAUCAAUUUUAGUACACAAGUCAUGCCAUCAUAAGAUAAAAUUACCAAGAAUACAUCUUAAGAAUUAAGAAAGCAAAUGGAGGAAAAUUCAACUAUCAGCAACAACUACUACAAUAGAUGGUAACACAUGCUAAAUCACCAUGUGAAUUGAACUUCUAACUCUAGUAGGUGCUUUCCUAGAGUAUUGUAGUCAAGGUAGAAAGUAUCUUAUGGUCCUUAAAAUGAUAGUCAUAAGCCUUAAGACUGGCCACUAUCAUUUGCAAGGACAUUAUAUACAGUAGGUACAAUGACAUAACUCUAUUCCUCCGCUUUCUUCGUCGCCAACACUAUUACUACCACUAGACCAAAGCCUAAGUACAAAAAACUAUACACACAAAAUAGAGGAAAAAUGAACGCAAACACGAACAUAUUUAAAAAAGUAUCAUGUUCCAUUAAAAAAAUGAAAAUUGAUAAACACUAAAAAAGCAACAAAAAUUUUAAAAAAAAAAAAAGUGACAAAACACUAGUCAAAACCUUAAGUUAUAUCAUUUUAUUCAACUUCUACAACUCCAUCUUCUCCAUCACCACCACUUCAAUAUCCGAGCCUCAAAGAACCAUUUCUGCCUCCUUUUUUUUUUGCCUCAUUUUUGCAAUAUCAACUAACAACCUGCAUUUCAGGCAGAGAGUAUGAAAAACUGUUAGGUACUUCAUAAUAAGUAAAAUGCAUUCAAAAUCUGUGUAUGCUUCAUCUUCUUGGGGAUAGAGAUCCAAAGAAUUUAGUAAUUAACAACAAUUUAUUGAUCCACAUCAUCUAAUUUUGCAGCAGUUGCAAUGUGUCCAACCAUAAAGUUUCAUGUCUUUAUGUGAAUUUCACAUCGCAAACCUCUUUUCUCUACCUAUUGCAGCCAAGCUUUCCACUUUUUUCUCUCUCUCCUGCUUGCCCCCAAAGCAAAAUACAAAGAAGAUGAAGAAAAUAUUGGCUAUUAAAAAUUCCACAGUAGAUUAAUAUGCCACGUUUAAGGUAACUGUAAAAAUUGGUGGCGUCAACAUAAAUGAUAUCAUUCAAUUCCAUAAAUGAAAUCCAUUUUCACGGCAGCACUCACACAACGCACCUGGAGUAGGUCUUUCCAUAUAGCUCGAGAAAACAUUUCUAGCGAGCCGCUUAAAUUAGCCGGCUUCCGACCACCCUCGUCUUAGCACCUCAAUCGUCUAUAGUAGUUCGUCCACUGCCGCACACCUAGCCAACAAAAACCCAAUCUAGUGUUGGCUAUUCCAAUAGACAUCACCACACCAUCCCUCGUCGACCAAAACACGAAAAGCAGAGACAUUAACCUAAUCGACGUAGCACCAUCACUGUCGCUGUAGCAGCGACAUGGCAACUGCAAUAGUAGUGUACAGGGCAUUUGUGAUCUCUGUACUCGGUUGGGAGGUUUUGAGAUUUGAGGGUUUUGUUUUAAUUUAGAACGUAAUAAAUACGGGUUUAUGUAAUGUUUAAGUAAUUUAGAGUAUUAAUCUAAUUGGGUCACUUUGUAGAGUAUAGGGCCUAAUUUCCCCAUAAUAGUUCGAGGGCAACUGAAGCUGCACUCUUCCGUCCUCACCUUAUUAAGAUGCUCGUGCUUAAUGUAGUGAUCAUCCGUCUAUCAAUUGAAUGGUGGGUAAACUUUUUUUUUUUUUGGGUAGCUGCAAGAGAGAAGUCGACCAUGUACAGCAAGAGAGUCAGCCGUCGAUGCCAUCGCCUCCGACGAAAUCUUGAGCAAAUACUAUGUAAGUAUGAUUUUCGUUCAUUGCUUGCUAUUGUGGUCGACUAAUAUCAAUUUCAAUGAAUGCAACCCGAAUAUAUUCUUGCAUUUUAAUCCAUUUUUUUUUCUUUUUUCCCAGUUCUACGUUUGAAACAGAAAGAUUAUUAUUAAUUUUUUUUUUUUUGGAAUUCUUUGUUUCUUCCAUAAUUAUAUACGCAACAUUUAAUUUGAUGAGAUGCUUGGAUUUAUGAGUUAUUUCUAGGAAUCUAUGAGUGUUGAAUUUGGUGAUUUAUCGUUUUGAUUUAAUUUAUAAGGAAGGCGAUUUUUUCCCUUUUGGAAGUUUUCGCACUAUUUCAAUUCGGUCUCCUUCCCUUUUUAAGAUUUAUUAGCUGUAACAAUUCCAAGGAAAAAAUGAAUGGAUUAUGAGUUUUGUAAAUUUGUGGAUUUUACAUUGGUGUGUGGUUGUUGUCUAAUGUAGUGCAACCUGUCUUUCGUUUGGAUGUAGGAUGGCUGGAAGGAACUUCGAACGAUGUUAUAGCUGUAGAGAGAAGGGGCACUUCUUUGCGGAUUGCCCAAAGAAAUGAUGAUUCUCAUGGUGUAAAAUUGGACAUGUGAAGUGCUUUGAGGUUGAGAGGGAAACGAAGAACAAGGAAAAAUUGUUCAAUUGCUGUCGUGCUAACUGUAAAUACUCGGAAUGGGUUGNCAAUAGGA